Chelonia mydas (Green sea turtle) is the source of this 579-nucleotide long non-coding RNA. RefSeq lists it as uncharacterized. The transcript has 3 exons. Lineage: Eukaryota; Metazoa; Chordata; Testudines; Cheloniidae. The record is from RefSeq and is a predicted model, not a curated record.
GGUAGUUGUGAGUUUCCUCUCUCUGGGAAAGGAAACAUAGAUGGGCCAGCAGGAAGGAGUUUGUACACUGGGACAGUCCUGAAGGGAGAGGGUAGCAGGUGACUCCUAAACCAAGCCAGAGGGAAGAGAGGCUCCAGGAAAGAAGCCCUGAGGAUCAGCAGUGUGGCAGGAGAUGGGGUCUCUAGGGGGAAAGCCCUGGGAAGAGUUACCCUGGAAGGCGUGGGACUGUUUGACCUUGCUAGAGGGACAAGUCGCUACACAAACCACUGAGGUCCAGAGGAGAAGGCAGAAGGGCUGUGAUGCUGGAGUUUGUCACGAGGACGUGCUCUGGAACGAUCAGCUCAGCUCCAUCUGGAGACUAAAUGUGCUCAAGAGGAGCCCCCUUGCUAAAAAAGGCCUUGCGAAAACUUCUGGUGAAACAUUCUCAUUCCUUAUCCUCAAAACAGCUACUGCCAUUCAUUCAUCUUGUGAACUAAUCACCGGCACGAUGUUGUUUUGAAAUAGCUAUUUCUGAGUUAUCUGAAAGUAAAACGUGUUGCGAUGAAUUCCUGUUUAUGUAUGUAUUUGCACAUAAUUAAA